GUUGCGUCGGCAUCCAUGCUCCAGUUCGCGAUGCUCAUGACAUGGGCGCCGCGGUCGCGGAUCUGACCGCCGCCGAAGUCGAUCAUCCAACGGAAUGCGCCGUGAGUACGCUUCUUGUUGUAGGGGAUCCAGCGCGCCGGUCCGACCCACAUAUCGUAG
This 159-nucleotide unclassified non-coding RNA is filed under the name plant metagenome. RNAcentral's name for it is "partial contains 5.8S ribosomal RNA, internal transcribed spacer 2, and large subunit ribosomal RNA". The record is from RNAcentral.